RNAcentral lists this unclassified non-coding RNA (267 nucleotides) under uncultured Xylariales. RNAcentral's name for it is "sequence contains ITS2". Lineage: Eukaryota; Fungi; Ascomycota; Sordariomycetes; Xylariales. The record is from RNAcentral.
AACGCACAUUGCGCCCAUUAGUAUUCUAGUGGGCAUGCCUGUUCGAGCGUCAUUAAGUCCACUUAAGCCUAGCUUAGUGUUGGGAGACUGCUCCAGUGGUGCUACCCUGUAGCUACCCUGCAGCUCCUUAAAGACAGCGGCGGAGUCGUGUUAUCCUCUGAGCUUAGUAAAUCAUUCUAGCUUUCGAGAGUAUCACUUCACCUGCCGUUAAACCACCUAAUUUUUAUGGUUGACCUCGGAUCAGGUAGGAAUACCCGCUGAACUUAA